GGUUCAACGGCGGACGAACGCUCAGGCUCGUCGAGCCUAGAAAAUGUCAGUCCUAAGGAGUGAGUCGGGAGUUCGAAUCUCUCCGGGGCCGCCA
RNAcentral lists this transfer RNA (94 nucleotides) under Chthonomonadaceae bacterium. RNAcentral's name for it is "tRNA-OTHER". Lineage: Bacteria; Bacillati; Armatimonadota; Chthonomonadia; Chthonomonadales; Chthonomonadaceae. The record is from RNAcentral.